ACUGCUAGAAGGCAUAUGCGUAAAUCCAAUAGCAGACUUGAUAAACACGGAAUUAGCAAACAGCCAAACGAAACUCACUGCGCUGUUGUCUUUCUACAAAGACAUACGACAUUUAUAUUUAUUGUUUUUCUUCAUAUUGGAAACACAAGAACAUGAGAGAGAGAAAGGUGAAGACGCAAACAAGUGAGAACAUGAAUCUUGGGCGGAUUUUCCGAUGGCGUAGUUUCGAUGAUUUAAGAGCAGACUUCUCUCGUGAUCCAGACAGAGACGUGAAGUGUCUGAAUUAUCAGAAUCAGCAUGAGAACACAAGUCUCUUCUGAACUCUCCAACACCUGACGACAACAUCACUCACAAAGUGGGAUGCAUUAUUAGGUUUACCAGACCAUAAAUAAUCUUAUGAGAAAAAGAAAAAUGCUGAAUAAACUGUCAGUAUUAGGCUUUGUGAAAAGAACGAGAAUAAAAUGUAAAUAGCGUCACACCAAGUCACUCAUUUCAUUCUAUUAUAUGAGUUUCUGUUGUAAAUGUAAUAUUCUGCUCAUUCUAUUUAUGUCAGUUUGCUUUAUAUCAUGAUUUGAAGCAAACAUCUUUGAAAGAUGUUUGUAAUUAAAGAUGUAGAAUUUUGUACCUGCUAUUUUUUUGUAAUUAUUCUCAGUAUUUGUGAUUUUGCUUUCCAAGGUUGUUUGUUUACCUGGUUUUUACAUUUCUUUGAAAUAUUUACUGUAACAGAACUGGACUAAAAACUGAACUGAACUGAACAUAUUGAGACAAGUGAAUCUGCAUCCUGGAGAUACAGACAUGCCAUUUUUAAUAAAAUCCAUAAAAUGA
Molecule: long non-coding RNA, 825 nt
Organism: Labeo rohita (rohu)
Lineage: Eukaryota; Metazoa; Chordata; Actinopteri; Cypriniformes; Cyprinidae
Exons: 3
Source: RefSeq, a predicted model, not a curated record